RNAcentral lists this ribosomal RNA (124 nucleotides) under Eucalyptus cinerea subsp. triplex. Its description in RNAcentral is "5.8S ribosomal RNA". It matches the Rfam family "5.8S ribosomal RNA", at positions 1 to 120 of the family's 154-position model. Rfam says of the family: 5.8S ribosomal RNA (5.8S rRNA) is a component of the large subunit of the eukaryotic ribosome. It is transcribed by RNA polymerase I as part of the 45S precursor that also contains 18S and 28S rRNA. Functionally, it is thought that 5.8S rRNA may be involved in ribosome translocation. The record is from RNAcentral. Lineage: Eukaryota; Viridiplantae; Streptophyta; Magnoliopsida; Myrtales; Myrtaceae.
AUAACGACUCUCGGCAACGGAUAUCUCGGCUCUCGCAUCGAUGAAGAACGUAGCGAACUGCGAUACUUGGUGUGAAUUGCAGAAUCCCGUGAACCAUCGAGUCUUUGAACGCCUGGGUGUCACA